AUGGAGAGCGCUGAAAACAACAAGAAGGGUAAAAUACUACAAUCAUAUGAGAAUGUAGAAGCAGCUAUCUACAGCAAUCAAGACAAAGUCGCAUACUAUGUUUCUGCAGAUGAAGAUUAUCUUAACCCAGAUGCAAUCGGGGAAGAGGAAGUGGCGGGGCCACAGGAACAUCACAACACUCUACAACUGCCUAGCAAUUUGACAGAGACGGAUGGAGAGUCGUAUGAGGAUAUGGAGGGGUGUUUAUAUGCUCAACCUCGCAAACAGACACUGAAACUCCGACACGCCUCUGAAGACCAGGACUACAACAAUCCUGAUGAAGAUGGAAACAAGAUCUUGCUCUGGACCACACAGACACUGGUAAAGAUUUCACUGUGUGAUUAUAUGCACAUGUACGGUAUGAAAUACUGUACGAACUGUCAUUUUCUUUCCUUCCAGAGUCGUAUGAAAUGA
Molecule: long non-coding RNA, 453 nt
Filed under: Sinocyclocheilus anshuiensis
Lineage: Eukaryota; Metazoa; Chordata; Actinopteri; Cypriniformes; Cyprinidae
Description: lncRNA (ENSSANG00000001226.1)
Source: RNAcentral